RNA transcript from Triticum aestivum (bread wheat), 2242 nucleotides. RefSeq lists it as uncharacterized. Lineage: Eukaryota; Viridiplantae; Streptophyta; Magnoliopsida; Poales; Poaceae. The transcript is spliced from 11 exons. The record is from RefSeq and is a predicted model, not a curated record.
CUGUCCUGGGCAUAGCCCAUCUGAUGAAAAAAAAAGGCCUCCGCUAUGCUCACUGGAGUCUCACUCGGCCACCCCUCUCCUCUCCCUGACCUAGCCGCCACCUCUGUCUCCCGCGAACUCCAUGGCGACUGCGGCCUGAUCUGCAUCCCCGCCGCCCCUGCUGACCCCGUCUACCACGCCCUGGUCUUCAAAUCGCGGCUGCCGCACUUCAACCUCGCCGCCGCCAGGUCCGGCACACCGUCGCCGCCGGCCGGGAGAGAUGGAUGAUGAGGCGCAGGAGACUCCAAAUGUUGGUGAUCUUCCCAAGAAGGCCCCCAAGGUGAUGAAUUGGACUCCACCCAUGUCUGCGUUGAUGUUGAAAGGCCUUUCAGAGGUGGCGGCAAGAGGUGCCAAGACUGAAAAAGGAUUCAAUGAGGUAAGUGUCUUCAGAGAACAAAUUCUCCAACUUGCUGGGAUUGCUUGUCAUGAAGAGGAGGGAAAAUCACGGACAGAGCUACUGGAGAAGCUCAAAACAUGUAACAAGGUUAUGCUAGUUGAACUGUGCCGUUCAUUUGAUGUCCCUGGUUCAACAAGCACUAAGAAGGAUGAAUUAGUGACAAUAGUGAUGGAGUUCUUGAUGGAACACUGUUCUGGUAUUAUUUACACAGAUCCUGAUAAGGCUCAACUUCUUAGCUGCCAGAAAUUUAAGAAAAGAAAGCGCAAGAAGAAUGGAGCGGAUCUAUCUGGUGGUGAACCUUCCAAGAAAAGGAAACCAGAUGGAACUCUACUGGAAUUUUGUAGUCAAGAGGAAGCAGAUGGGAGAAAAGCUGUAGAAGAUAGAACAAACCAUUCCGAGUUCAGCUUGAGGGAUAGCAGAGAUGAGCUGGUAAAUGACUCCGCGUUGGGGAAAUUAGCUGUAGUUCCACUGCCAGGAGUACCGUUUCCUACAGAUGAACAAACGCUAAUCACAACACCAUCUGCAAAGUUAUUUAGCAAUGUUGAGAAUGAUACCAUGGAUAUGGCGGCUUCAAUGAAGAAAAACAUUUCUGUUACCAAGAAAAAGGCAAUCCAAAACACAGAUUCCAAGGAGAAAUCUGGUGGUAAAACUAUGUCUAGAGGAGAUGCGAAACCAUGGAAGCAGGCACCGAAACCAAGUAAGGAUGAGCUGAGACAGGCUGUCUCCUGUAUAUUGGGUGCUGCAAAUUUUGCCACGAUGACUUUUGGAGAGGUUGUAAAAGCAGUUGACAAAUACUUUGGCAAGGAUUUGUUUGAGAGGAAGCCGCUGGUAAGGGCCUUGAUAGAGGAGGAGCUGUUUAGGCUAGCCAAGGAGGCUGAGAGGAAGGAAGUGGAAGAGGAGGAAGCAAUGGAAGCAAAAGUAAAAGCUGCCAAGGACAGCGCAAGGGAUGGAAGAGUUGAAUCAGACAUAGACAAGGAGGAAUAUGAAGUUGAAGCUGGUCCAGAUGGUAAAUCUAAGGAUGCUGAAAAGAUUGGCAACAGCAAGAGUAGUGAUAAAGGUGGUAAAAGUGGGAUUUGUGUGAAGGCUGGCGAGAAGGGAAAUAGCAACGCUGCUGCCGCUGAAAAUUUACAAGAUGGAAAGUCCGAAGUUGACGACACAAGGAAGAAAGAAUUUAGCAAGGAUUGCGAGGCUGAAAAGAUUGUGCAGAAUGCAAAUGGCGAUGGUGGCAUGGAAAUGUUGAGGGAUGGUGAAGCUGAAACUGGGAAUAAUUGCAACGGUAACACCAUAGGAGGUUCUGGAGAAAAAGAUGACACUACAGAUGGCAGAUGUGAAGAAGGCAGGGCUGAAAAAGAUGCAGAAAAUGCUGGUGACUGUGAACCUGAAGAAUCUGAAACUAAUGAACCAGAAGCAGAAGUAAAAGAUGUGAAAUCUAAGGAAGCCAGUGGCAAUGAGAUUACCCUAUCCCAUGGUGCUAACUAAAUGUGGCAAAACAAAAUAGAUGCUAGGCAACAUGAUUACUGAAGCGAGACGCGGAUGAUGGUCGAGCGGAAGAUUCUGAAGGCAGUACAAGCACCAAAAUUGAUAACUGCUGCUUUACUUGGUGACAAGGAUGGGCGGGCGGACGGACGGACGGCCUGGAUUGGUCUGACAUGGCAGUAAUAGACGGUUGUCCAAUGUGACAGGUGGAACAUACUUAUCGACUGACCAACGGCUGGCUUGGCUCCACGUUCACAGCUCCAUCCCUUCUUAUCCGCGCAAUCCAACGGACCGGACCCAGCCAAGCCAUUCCCCACCACCCUCUCCCAG